UACAGGGGGGGCAAGCGUUGUUCGGAAUUACUGGGCGUAAAGGGCCAGUAGGCGGCCAACUAAGUCCGACGUGAAAUCCCAAAGCUUAACUUUGGAACUGCGUCGGAUACUGGAUGGCUUGAAUUCGGGAGAGGGAUGCAGAAUUCCAGGUGUAGCGGUGAAAUGCGUAGAUAUCUGGAGGAAUACCGGUGGCGAAGGCGGCAUCCUGGACCGACAUUGACGCUGAUGCGCGAAAGCCAGGGGAGCAAACGGG
Molecule: ribosomal RNA, 253 nt
Filed under: uncultured bacterium
Lineage: Bacteria
Description: partial 16S ribosomal RNA
Rfam family: Bacterial small subunit ribosomal RNA
Source: RNAcentral